Molecule: ribosomal RNA, 497 nt
Filed under: uncultured bacterium
Lineage: Bacteria
Description: partial 16S ribosomal RNA
Rfam family: Bacterial small subunit ribosomal RNA
Source: RNAcentral
GAUGAACGCUGGCGGCGUGCCUAAUACAUGCAAGUCGAGCGAACAGACGAGGAGCUUGCUCCUCUGACGUUAGCGGCGGACGGGUGAGUAACACGUGGAUAACCUACCUAUAAGACUGGGAUAACUUCGGGAAACCGGAGCUAAUACCGGAUAAUAUAUUGAACCGCAUGGUUCAAUAGUGAAAGACGGUUUUGCUGUCACUUAUAGAUGGAUCCGCGCCGCAUUAGCUAGUUGGUAAGGUAACGGCUUACCAAGGCGACGAUGCGUAGCCGACCUGAGAGGGUGAUCGCCCACACUGGAACUGAGACACGGUCCAGACUCCUACGGGAGGCAGCAGUAGGGAAUCUUCCGCAAUGGGCGAAAGCCUGACGGAGCGACGCCGCGUGAGUGAUGAAGGUCUUCGGAUCGUAAAACUCUGUUAUUAGGGAAGAACAAAUGUGUAAGUAACUAUGCACGUCUUGACGGUACCUAAUCAGAAAGCCACGGCUAACUACGUG